Molecule: ribosomal RNA, 781 nt
Filed under: uncultured Actinomycetes bacterium
Lineage: Bacteria; Bacillati; Actinomycetota; Actinomycetes
Description: bacterial SSU rRNA
Rfam family: Bacterial small subunit ribosomal RNA
Source: RNAcentral
AGAGUUUGAUUAUGGCUCAGGAUGAACGCUGGCGGCGUGCUUAACACAUGCAAGUCGAACGAGGUCCAACCUUCGGGUGAAGACCGAGUGGCGAACGGGUGAGUAACACGUGGGGAACCUGCCCUUCUCUCUGGGAUAACCUCGGGAAACCGAAGCUAAUACCGGAUACUCCUUGCGGACCGCAUGGUCUGCUCGGGAAAGCUCCGGCGGAGAAGGAUGGCCCCGCGGCCCAUUAGCUUGUUGGUGGGGUAACGGCCCACCAAGGCGACGAUGGGUAGCCGAGCUGAGAGGCUGAUCGGCCACACUGGGACUGAGACACGGCCCAGACUCCUACGGGAGGCAGCAGUGGGGAAUCUUGCGCAAUGGGCGAAAGCCUGACGCAGCAACGCCGCGUGCGGGAUGAAGGCUCUCGGGUCGUAAACCGCUUUCAGCAGGGAUGAAAAUGACAGUACCUGCAGAAGAAGCCCCGGCUAAAUACGUGCCAGCAGCCGCGGUAAUACGUAUGGGGCAAGCGUUAUCCGGAUUCAUUGGGCGUAAAGCGCGCGUAGGCGGCUUGUUAAGUCAGGCGUGAAAUCCGGGGGCUCAACCCGCGGCUUGCGUCUGAAACUGGCAGGCUUGAGUCUGGUAGAGGAAAGUGGAAUUCCUGGUGUAGCGGUGAAAUGCGCAGAUAUCAGGAGGAACACCAGUGGCGAAGGCGGCUUUCUGGGCCACGACUGACGCUGAGGCGCGAAAGCUAGGGGAGCGAACAGGAUUAGAUACCCUGGUAGUCAAGGGCGAUCCC